RNAcentral lists this ribosomal RNA (593 nucleotides) under uncultured Pseudozyma. Its description in RNAcentral is "eukaryotic LSU rRNA". It matches the Rfam family "Eukaryotic large subunit ribosomal RNA", at positions 81 to 656 of the family's 3401-position model. Lineage: Eukaryota; Fungi; Basidiomycota; Ustilaginomycetes; Ustilaginales; Ustilaginaceae. The record is from RNAcentral.
UAGUACGGCGAGUGAAGAGGGAAGAGCCCAAGAUUGAAAGCUGGCGUCUUCGGCGUCCGCAUUGUAAUCUCAAGAAGUGUUUUCCGCUUCGGACCAAGCCUAAGUCCCCUGGAAAGGGGCAUCAUAGAGGGUGAUAAUCCCGUACAUGGCUUGGAGCGCCCGAGGCUUUGUGAUACGCUUUCUAAGAGUCGAGUAGUUUGGGAAUGCAGCUCAAAAUGGGUGGUAAAUGCCAUCUAAGGCUAAAUAUUGGGGAGAGACCGAUAGCGAACAAGUACAGUGAUGGAAAGAUGAAAAGAACUUUGAAAAGAGAGUUAAACAGUACGUGAAAUUGCCAAAAGGGAAGGGUAGGAGGUCAGAGAUGCGGCCUGGGAUUCAGCCUUGCUUUUGCUUGGUGUUUUUCCCAGAUUGCAGGCCAACGUCGGUUUUGGGCACUGGAGAAGGGUAGGAGGAACGUGGCACCCCUCGGGGUGUGUUAUAGCCUCCUACUGGAUACAGCGACCGAGACCGAGGACAGCAGCGUACUCGCAAGAGCGGGCCUUCGGGCACCUUUACGCUUAGGGCGUUGGCAUAAUGGCCCUCUACCACCCGUCUGA